GCUUAACGCGAAGAACCUUACCAAGGCUUGACAUAUACGAGAACGGGCCAGAAAUGGUCAACUCUUUGGACACUCGUAAACAGGUGGUGCAUGGUUGUCGUCAGCUCGUGUCGUGAGAUGUUCGGUUAAGUCCGGCAACGAGCGCAACCCUCGUUCUAUGUUGCCAGCACGUAAUGGUGGGAACUCAUGGGAUACUGCCGUGGUCAACACGGAGGAAGGUGGGGAUGACGUCAAAUCAUCAUGCCCCUUAUGUCUUGGGCUUCACGCAUGCUACAAUGGCCGGUACAAAGGGCUGCGAUACCGUAAGGUGGAGCGAAUCCCAAAAAGCCGGUCCCAGUUCGGAUUGAGGUCUGCAACUCGACCUCAUGAAGUCGGAGUCGCUAGUAAUCGCAGAUCAGCAACGCUGCGGUGAAUACGUUCCCGGGUCUUGUACACACCG
This 439-nucleotide ribosomal RNA is filed under the name uncultured bacterium. RNAcentral's name for it is "bacterial SSU rRNA". It matches the Rfam family "Bacterial small subunit ribosomal RNA", at positions 954 to 1392 of the family's 1533-position model. The record is from RNAcentral.